Orcinus orca (killer whale) is the source of this 3502-nucleotide long non-coding RNA. RefSeq lists it as uncharacterized. NCBI's taxonomy places the organism in Eukaryota, Metazoa, Chordata, Mammalia, Artiodactyla, Delphinidae. The transcript has 8 exons. The record is from RefSeq and is a predicted model, not a curated record.
GGUCCCUGCGAGCUCCUUGUCUCCACUGGUUCCGCGAGAGUCCUCUCUGGGCAGGCGGCGGGCGCGGAGUCAUGGAUUCGGCUUCGUGCGGAUUGCUGGCUUCACCCGGCGUGUGACGAGCCGUGGGAUCCAGCUCUGUGGAAAAUACAAAGCAAACCUGGGAGAGUGGUGAACAGAUGGAUGAGGGACAAAAUCAUGUCCGUUUCUCAAUCUUGAGAACUGCCCAAGGUGACUCUACUUCUCGCUCUCCUUCAGUAACCUCAAAUCUGGAGGAAGUAAAUGAUAUGUACUGAAAGCCCCAUGGUUACUUUUGGAAUGGUCUACUAGAUUUGACCAGUGCUGGAGAGUAUUCAGUGGAUGAUUUGCAGUUACAUCUGCUAAGAAACCUACAUGGCCACUGCUUCAAAUUUGUUCCAGAUGGAUCUAGUCAUAGAAUGAUUGAUUAUCCACUCAGUUGCGAGCUAUGUGGUUAAGCUCAGAAAUCUGCAACAAACUGAUCUGGAGCUGUGUUUCACGAUGGAGUGCCAAGGCCAAGGGUCAGGCAGGCUCACAGAUGGACCUUUGGAACUAAUCCAGAUUCAGAGCAACACUGAACCCAUCCAUCCAGAGCCAAAGGCAGGUCUGGACAUUCAUGGAUGGAAUUUACCUAAGGUGAGGCUCACCUGUGGAAGUGACAGUGGCAGGCCCCAGCGAAUGGGAAUCCCAGGCAGAAUUCAAACACUGCCUCUGAGCAACAGUGACUCUCCAUGGCAAGUGGCAGGUGCAUUAGGUCAGGAAGCUGGCUUGUCCUGUGGUCGUCAAGUAUCAGGAAGAACUCAGUACACCUUUGUUGGCUGGUUGAUUUUGCAAGUCCUUGGAUAUUCCUUUUUUUAGCUUUAAGUGAUAUAUAGAAAAGUAUACUCUUCCACUUAGAGUUAAUACAGAUGAUGGAAGAAGGAAUUGUAUGUAUAGCAGCUAAUAUGGAUCUACACUUGUCACGUAAGUGCUCCAGGAAUGUGACUUUUCUUCUCUCCUCAGGUGAGUGGUGGCCCAUCUACCUGCCAAGGGACAACGGUGCUAGAAUGGGUAGGAAUUAAAACUGGAGUCAGUGGUUUCUCACCUUGGCCUGUGGUCCUCUGUAGGCAGGCAGGGUUAGGAGAGGGGUGGAGGAAAGGUUUGCAGAGUUAUCUGCAAAAGAUUUAAAAUUUAUAUGUGCAUCAAACAUUGCAUAUAGAUGAAUUAAACACAAUCUCUUGCACAUAGUUCCUUCUCACUCUCAAAUAUCUAUUCGCACACUAUUGUGGUAAACAUAUACAUGUUUAUCUAUAAUCACUACAAAAUGAAUUGUAGUUUUUUGCCAUCCUUUGUUUUCUCAGCUGCUAUCAAGUGAUGUCUAAGAAAUGUUUUGAAUAGAAAAGGUUUUUUCCUCCUGUUGAAAAACAGUGGGAACUGCCGUUCUAUAGCAUUGCUUAAGGUAAGGCUUCCCAGGUGUAGUCCUAAGACCUGUCGUACCUGUUUAAAGUGCAGUUGCCCAGCUCCACCCCUCACAGUCUGGAUUAGAAUCUCCCAGGCUAGGAACUGGAAAUCUGCUUUCUAACAAAUGUCCUGAUGUCAAUUUUCCCAUGCAUUGAGAACACCGGGCUUGAGAUAGUCGGAAAAUACGUUGACAGAAUCAGGAAUCAGGUUCAGGAGGUUAAAGCUUUGUUUCUUCAAGUUUUACCUGAAGAUGGAGUAUUAUUUCUUUCCCGUUUAAAUCCUUGCAUACUAUCCAAAAACUGGCUAGAAUAUCUAUCAAUCAUGUCAGAGAGUCUAAUGACAAUUUUAAAGCACCGUAUCCCUGCUGGAACUCUAAAACCGAAGACAGAUGGUUUUGGAUCAUCUACAGAUGAGGCUUAGUCACACAACUAUUUGCCUUCAUCCGUGUGCAGUGAAAUACAAUGUGAAUUAAAUUACAGUGGGCAGGGGAGCUGGACUACAGAUCUGAAAUCAUUAGCAGCUCCUGAGAGCAUCCACCUGAGUUGUGUGUAUUUAAAUAUAAUCUUCAAUACAAUUACGAAACAUUUACCACCAUCUGUGUUGUCAUAGCAAAGUGCAGGGGCAGCAAAUAUCUGGUCUACGUUUUGACAUCCUCCCCACCCCCACCAGUUUGCAUGGCAGCUAGACGUUUCUAAUCAAUUCUAGCAAUCCUUCCCCUUAAGUCAGGAUAUUUAUGCCUCAGAAUCCUUUUCUCCAGGCAGCUGUUAGCAGAUGGGAUGAUGGAGGAUGAAACCUAUUUGCUACGUCUGGGAUGGUGAAGGGCAUGGGCUUUGCAGUCGUGGGUUUAGGGGGUUCGAAUCCCAGUUUUGCCACUUACAGGUUGUGAGACAGAGCAAGAUACUUACAAAAUUUAGGUACUCUUGCAGCCUCAUUCUCCUUAUUUGCACAAGUGGGAUUACAGCCCCAUUUCACAGGAUUAUCGUGAAGGUGACAGAAAGAAUACAUGUAAAUUGCUUAGUAUUCCUAGCACAUAACGAGUACUCAAUAAAUUUUAGGUGUUGUUAUUUUUAAUCUAGCUUGCAAUGAUGUGAUGGGCGCAAGGAGAAAGGGACUCAUUUUGCGGGACUGCUUGAGUUCUAUAAAGCAGGUGUGGAAGAUUUUAUUAGCAGAGUGCUUCCUUACUGCAACCCUCUCUCUGGGAUUAUGGCCCACAUUUACUGAGGGCUUAACAAUUACAGAAACUGUUCUAAGUACUUUUUGAGGAGUAACUAAUUUAAUCCUCACAAGAACCCAGUGAAGUAGAUGUUCUUAUCCCCAGUUUAUAGGGGCAGCACCUGAGGCAUAAAGAGGUUAAGUAGCUCAUAAGGGACAUGCCGUUUGAAAUGGGGACUCCGGCCAGCAGCCGCACUUGGAACUUGUGAGAAGGUAGAUUCUCAGGCCCUGCCCCUGACUCCCUGCAUCAGAACUCUGUGGGUGGGCCCAGAAAUCUUUGUUUGAACAAGCCCUCCAGGCGAUUCUGAGGCACAUCAAGCUUUCAGAACCACAAUCCAGAAGGCAAAGGAGCAUUGGCAGGACAAGAAGUCGAUCAGGAGUGAGGUGAGCUGAUGAAGAAGCAUGUCCCCAUUAAGGAAGGGUGAGUGUCUUUUCAGAACUUUGAUUCCUAGCUGUACCUUCCAGUAUUCAUCUGGGAAUUCUGUGUGUUUUUUCCUGUUUAUGAGGAAAAUUGGUUUAUUUGUUCUAUUGUUUGUUUUGUUUUUUUUUUACUUUGUGUUACAAGUUCCACUAGAACAAAUAAGAAACCCCUUGUCUGUCUAGCACCUGCCAGAGAAGUAACCCUCAUCAGUGGAGGGAGGGGAUCAAAUGCCUAGCAUGGUGGAAACUUACCAGCUCCCAAGGUCUGGGCAGUGGAUCUGAAACUUCAGAGUCCCUGUGAACCAGCUGGAGCCUUUGUUAAAAUGAAGAUUCUCAGGUCCUGCUCUCCCCUAUUCUGAUUCAGUAGGUCUGAGGUAGAGCCCAGGAAUCUGCAUUUUAAUAAGCAUCUAGUCCA